Molecule: long non-coding RNA, 503 nt
Organism: Ictalurus punctatus (channel catfish)
Lineage: Eukaryota; Metazoa; Chordata; Actinopteri; Siluriformes; Ictaluridae
Source: Ensembl
UUGCUGUCAUCUGAAAGUAAUGAGUGGCCCCAUAAAAAGCUGUUGAGUAGAGGUGGGUUAAACUUGAAGGUAUCCAAUACAGGAUGAGAGAAAGGACCAAUAAGGGAAACUCUUUAAUCAGCAGGGUAUCACAAAGACUGUUCUCUUUAAAGCUGCUGCCCUCACCAGCACUUCCUUUCUGCAAGGUCAGCAUUUCAAGUAGAAACACAGCCAAACAAAAUGACUCUGACACAGUUGAAGAUUGGGGUCAAAGAAGAGGAUCGGUCUGCUCUAGCUGAGGCCCAUGGACAGAGAUCAUGUCAUUUAUACAUCUACCUUGUGCUGAGGACACCAUUUUUUGAUUUGAGCCACUUCCCUUCAGGAAAUGUGAAAGGAAACAAGCUGCCCUGGACCAGUUGUACUCCAAAGAUAAGUUUCCUGUUUUUCUAAUAUUUAGGAAUGCUCUUUAGACACCUCUUCACUGUUCUCACACGUGGCUGUUUGUUUUAAAUAUAUUUUGAGAG